Molecule: ribosomal RNA, 500 nt
Filed under: uncultured Glomeromycotina
Lineage: Eukaryota; Fungi; Glomeromycota
Description: partial small subunit ribosomal RNA
Rfam family: Eukaryotic small subunit ribosomal RNA
Source: RNAcentral
CCAAUAGCGUAUAUUAAAGUUGUUGCAGUUAAAAAGCUCGUAGUUGAAUUUCGGGGUUAGUAGGCUGGUCAUGCCUCUGGUAUGUACUGGUCUCACUGAUUCCUCCUUCCUGAUGAACCGUAAUGCCAUUAAUUUGGUGUUGCGGGGAAUCUGGACUGUUACUUUGAAAAAAUUAGAGUGUUUAAAGCAAGCUAACGCUUGAAUACAUUAGCAUGGAAUAAUGAAAUAGGACGUUCGAUCCUAUUUUGUUGGUUUCUAGGAUUGACGUAAUGAUUAAUAGGGAUAGUUGGGGGCAUUAGUAUUCAAUUGUCAGAGGUGAAAUUCUUGGAUUUAUUGAAAACUAACUACUGCGAAAGCAUUUGCCAAGGAUGUUUUCAUUAAUCAAGAACGAAAGUUAGGGGAUCGAAGACGAUCAGAUACCGUCGUAGUCUUAACCAUAAACUAUGCCGACUAGGGAUCGGAUGAUGUUAAUUUUUUAAUGACUCAUUCGGCGCCUUACG